GAUGAACGCUGGCGGCGUGCCUAAUACAUGCAAGUCGAGCGAACAGACGAGGAGCUUGCUCCUCUGACGUUAGCGGCGGACGGGUGAGUAACACGUGGAUAACCUACCUAUAAGACUGGGAUAACUUCGGGAAACCGGAGCUAAUACCGGAUAAUAUAUUGAACCGCAUGGUUCAAUAGUUAAACACGGUUUUGCUGUCACUUAUAGAUGGAUCCGCGCCGCAUUAGCUAGUUGGUAAGGUAACGGCCUACCAAGGCAACGAUGCGUAGCCGACCUGAGAGGGUGAUCGGCCACACUGGAACUGAGACACGGUCCAGACUCCUACGGGAGGCAGCAGUAGGGAAUCUUGCGCAAUGGGCGAAAGCUUGACGGAGCAACGCCGCGUGAGUGAUGAAGGUCUUCGGAUCGUAAAACUCUGUUAUUAGGGAAGAACAAAUGUGUAAGUAAAUAUGCACGUCUUGACGGUACCUAAUCAGAAAGCCACGGCUAACUACGUG
This 497-nucleotide ribosomal RNA is filed under the name uncultured bacterium. Its description in RNAcentral is "partial 16S ribosomal RNA". It matches the Rfam family "Bacterial small subunit ribosomal RNA", at positions 28 to 507 of the family's 1533-position model. The record is from RNAcentral.